This 2399-nucleotide long non-coding RNA is filed under the name Homo sapiens (human). RNAcentral describes it as "HSALNT0049524". Lineage: Eukaryota; Metazoa; Chordata; Mammalia; Primates; Hominidae. The record is from RNAcentral.
GCAUGAGCCACCACACCCAGCCUUAAUUCUUUUUAUAACUUUAAAAAUACUUCUUAUCCUGUGUUUCUGAACGUUAUGAUCUACUGUAACAAAACAAAGUGAAUAAGUUAGCAGAAUUACACUUAUUCCAACUUCCCUAGCAUCCUAUUUUUGGUUGGUAUUCUCUGCACAUUUUUUGCCAUUUUGGUUAAUCUGUUGUGAUUUUUAUCUUAUUAAAAUUAUUAACAUUUAUUCAGAAAAUACUUAUUGAUUAUUCCCUAAGUUCCAGGUUAUGUUGCUGCUAGUGGCUCAGUCAUACACAAAACAAAAUAUGUCCUCGGAAUAAAUAAUCUGUCCUCAGAGAGACUGCGGUCUAGAAGGGAAGAGAGAUGUGACUAAUUCCACAAUAGACGUGUAGUCUGCCUUGGUCUGUUCAGCUGCUAUAACAAAACGCUAUGAACUAAGUAGCCUGUAAAUAAUAAAAAUUUGUUUCUCACAGUUCUGGAGCCUGAAAGGCCAAGAUCAAGGCAGACUCAUUGUGUGGUGAGGGCCAUUUUUCCGGCUCAUAAACAGUGCUUUCUUCCUGUGUCCUCACAUGGUGGAAGGGACCAAUAAGCUCUUUGGGGCCCCUUUUAGAAGGGCACUAAGCCCAUUUAUGAAGGCACCAUCCUCAUGAGCUACUCACCUCCCAGAGGCCCCAUGUCCUAAUAGUAUCACCUUAAGGGUUAGAAUUUCGAUAUAUGAAUUUAUAGGGGCUGGGGGGUCACAAACAUUCAGAUUGCAAUAUAAAACUUUUCAGCUUCUUAGAGAGUGACACUUACCUUAUCAUUGGUGGCACUUUACAAUCUCCAUCAGCCACAUGGAAACCUGAUUAGAUUAGUGAUCAGGGAAACGUUUAUGUUCUGAUGUGUGUCCAGACUCAAGACUAUUAUUUGGACUUAAUUUCACAUUUAAACGAAUUCCCUGCUCACCAUCCACCCUUUCUUUGUCCAAUCCAUGUUUAGUUUAUGAUUUGGAUUCAUCUUUUGGUUGGCUGAAAUAAUUCUUCAUGUAGUAGUAAUAGCUGUUGCUGUUGAUUACAUUGUUUAAUUGAGAAAGUGCAUACACAGGAAACAAGUUCUCCUACAUGAGAUAUUGUCUUCUGCUGCCUUAUACAAGCAGGAACUUUGGCUAAGAGAAAAUCUUGGGUUCACAGACUCUUCACCUGAAGAAUUACAAAUACUGGCCUAACACAAUGUUCAGAUAGUUCUGAGGCCAGCCUCACAAGUUCCUUUAGUAAAUGAUCCUUUUCUUAUCACUAGGUGCUUGUGAGAUUCCACGCAUCAUACUAGAGGUGUGAGCACUGCACCUAAGGGUGCCUCGGAUCAUCCCUGAGAUGCAGGCACUGCACCAGGAGGUGUCUUGGAUCAUUCCUGAGGUGUGAGCACAUCAUCAGAAGGGACGGAAACGCCACCUGGCCAGGCCCUUCAGGGAUGUGACCGCAGUGGGCCCAGCCUGGGGCAAAUGCUGUGAGAUGGCACCACAUCAUGUUGGCAUGGGCUGCAGCCCCUCGUGAACAUUUCCUUUUGGUCCUUGUUAGCUGGUGCCUUUGGGUGAGUUUCAUGGUGGUGUCUCAUGGUGAGUAUCAAGCACGGCAGCAGGGAGCCCCCUCCACCCGCCCCACUCCCCCAGGACUCCAGGCUCCCCUCUCACCAGUUGUACAGAGAAGACGUCAGCCCACAGAACCAUGUGCUGUGUAAGCUCCUCACUGCAAACACCCCCAAAGGUCAGAGACCAGGGGACCCACAGGAGAGUGAGAGGCCUCCGCCUCUGAGGUCAGGCCUCUGACCAUGGCCGUGGGUGCUGUGAUGCCCUGCAUGGCUCUCCUCCCCCGGGAGGCCCGCCCGGCUCAGCUCUGUCUAUGGGGAAGGCCACAGAGCUCCGGGGGCUGGCUUUCCUCAGCCCCGAGUAAUUACAGACAUGUGUCUGCACAUGUCACUGGUCAGACUCCCACGACCCCGCAGUAGAUCCUCAUUAACCCGGGGACUUGAGGACUCUGAGAGGAGCAAGGGGCCGAGAGGAGAGAGGGAGACCUGGGCGCUGGCAGGGAUGGGGAACCUGCAGAGAGGCCCAGACGUCCUGUGCCCAUGCUGAUGGGCAAGGUAUGCCACCUGCCCCGCGAAUGACGAAGCGGGAGCCUGCCGCGGGACCAGGGACGGGCGCGGGGAGCCUGAGCAGAGCAGGUUGGGGAGCCACAGCGAAGAGUUUAUGAGCCGGCGUCCAGCCCCUCCCCUCUCCCUCCUGAGCACGGCUAUUAAACUCCUUCUGGCCUCCAGAUGCGCAGUCUGCAAGCUAGUUCCCUUUUGUUAUUUCAAGCUCAGGGCCUUGAUCUUUUGCCACUUUGGAAGAAGCGGAGAAACAAAGGGAUCUGGUGCUGUUGC